AGUCCACGCCCUAAACGAUGCUGACUAGUUGUUCGGGAUUUACAUCCUGAGUAACGUAGCUAACGCGUGAAGUCAGCCGCCUGGGGAGUACGGUCGCAAGAUUAAAACUCAAAGGAAUUGACGGGGACCCGCACAAGCGGUGGAUGAUGUGGAUUAAUUCGAUGCAACGCGAAAAACCUUACCUACCCUUGACAUGUCACUAACGAAGUAGAGAUACAUUAGGUGCUCGUAAGAGAAAGUGAACACAGGUGCUGCACGGCUGUCGUCAGCUCGUGUCGUGAGAUGUUGGGUUAAGUCCCGCAACGAGCGCAACCCUUGUCUUUAGUUGCUACGCAAGAGCACUCUAAAGAGACUGCCGGUGACAAACCGGAGGAAGGUGGGGAUGACGUCAAGUCCUCAUGGCCCUUAUGGGUAGGGCUUCACACGUCAUACAAUGGUGCAUACAGAGGGUUGCCAACCCGCGAGGGGGAGCUAAUCUCAGAAAAUGCAUCGUAGUCCGGAUCGUAGUCUGCAACUCGACUACGUGAAGCUGGAAUCGCUAGUAAUCGCGGAUCAGAAUGUCGCGGUGAAUACGUUCCCGGGUCUUGUACACACCGCCCGUCAUACCAUGGGAGUGGGUUUUGCCAGAAGCCG
Molecule: ribosomal RNA, 633 nt
Filed under: uncultured beta proteobacterium
Lineage: Bacteria; Pseudomonadati; Pseudomonadota; Betaproteobacteria
Description: bacterial SSU rRNA
Rfam family: Bacterial small subunit ribosomal RNA
Source: RNAcentral